UAGCUUAGAUGAUAAAGCAUCUGCCUGCAAUGUAGGAGACCAGGGUUCAAUCCCUG
Molecule: transfer RNA, 56 nt
Filed under: Bos taurus (domestic cattle)
Lineage: Eukaryota; Metazoa; Chordata; Mammalia; Artiodactyla; Bovidae
Also listed under: 4 other names
Rfam family: tRNA
About the family: Transfer RNA (tRNA) molecules are approximately 80 nucleotides in length. Their secondary structure includes four short double-helical elements and three loops (D, anti-codon, and T loops).
Source: Rfam by way of RNAcentral